GGGUCCGGACACACUGAGGAUUGACAGGCAAUAUUAAUACGUUUUGCUUCGGUAAACGCGUAUUAUGUUAAAUAUGCUAGUCCUUUCAUGAUUAUGUGAUAGGUGGUGCAUGGCCGUUCUUAGUUCGUGGAGUGAUCUGUCUGCUUAAUUGCGUUUCACUAAGGGCCUAUAAAUUUACGUGUGUUGCAUCGAACUUUGACCCCUUUCUUUAAUUAGAGAGCGCGUGUCUUAGUUUUCGCUUUGCUCAUACAAUUAGGUCCUGAAAGCAACGAACGUGACCGCAACCUCUUGUUGCCUUUAUACCAAACAUGUUUUGCGUCAAUUUUUACGAAUUGCGCGCAUUUCAUGAAAAAAGGCUUUUUAAACUAGAGGGACCGCUGUUACUUUCUUAAACCAGAGGAAGGUUGCGGCAAUAACAGGUCUGUGAUGCCCUUAGAUGUUCCGGGCUGCACACGUGCUACAAUGAUUAUUGCAGUGAGCAUCUCAUUUUUACACACCGCAUGCGCGAGUCCAUUUAUUCACCUUCGGGUGUUUUAAAUGUGUAUCUCUGCGCGCGGUAAAGCCUGCUUCGACAGUAAGUGGGU
Molecule: ribosomal RNA, 584 nt
Filed under: Cibicidoides lobatulus
Lineage: Eukaryota; Foraminifera; Rotaliida; Anomalinidae
Description: bacterial SSU rRNA
Rfam family: Eukaryotic small subunit ribosomal RNA
Source: RNAcentral